UGGGGAAUCUUCCGCAAUGGGCGCAAGCCUGACGGAGCAACGCCGCGUGAGUGAAGAAGGGUUUCGACUCGUAAAGCUCUGUUGUCGGGGACGAAUGUGGAGAUGGUGAAUAACCAUUUUCAAUGACGGUACCUGACGAGGAAGCCACGGCUAACUACGUGCCAGCAGCCGCGGUAAUACGUAGGUGGCGAGCGUUGUCCGGAAUUAUUGGGCGUAAAGGGAGCGCAGGCGGGAGAUCAAGUCUAUCUUAAAAGUGCGGGGCUCAACCCCGUGAGGGGAUGGAAACUGGUCUUCUUGAGUGCAGGAGAGGAAAGCGGAAUUCCUAGUGUAGCGGUGAAAUGCGUAGAUAUUAGGAGGAACACCAGUGGCGAAGGCGGCUUUCUGGACU
Molecule: ribosomal RNA, 388 nt
Filed under: uncultured Mitsuokella sp.
Lineage: Bacteria; Bacillati; Bacillota; Negativicutes; Selenomonadales; Selenomonadaceae
Description: bacterial SSU rRNA
Rfam family: Bacterial small subunit ribosomal RNA
Source: RNAcentral